GAUGAACGCUGGCGGCGUGCCUAAUACAUGCAAGUCGAGCGAACAGACGAGGAGCUUGCUCCUCUGACGUUAGCGGUGGACGGGUGAGUAACACGUGGAUAACCUACCUAUAAGACUGGGAUAACUUCGGGAAACCGGAGCUAAUACCGGAUAAUAUAUUGAACCGCAUGGUUCAAUAGUGAAAGACGGUUUUGCUGUCACUUAUAGAUGGGUCCGCGCCGCAUUAGCUAGUUGGUAAGGUAACGGCUUACCAAGGCAACGAUGCGUAGCCGACCUGAGAGGGUGAUCGGCCACACUGGAACUGAGACACGGUCCAGACUCCUACGGGAGGCAGCAGUAGGGAAUCUUCCGCAAUGGGCGAAAGCCUGACGGAGCAACGCCGCGUGAGUGAUGAAGGUCUUCGGAUCGUAAAACUCUGUUAUUAGGGAAGAACAAAUGUGUAAGUAACUAUGCACGUCUUGACGGUACCUAAUCAGAAAGCCACGGCUAACUACGUG
Molecule: ribosomal RNA, 497 nt
Filed under: uncultured bacterium
Lineage: Bacteria
Description: partial 16S ribosomal RNA
Rfam family: Bacterial small subunit ribosomal RNA
Source: RNAcentral